This 92-nucleotide non-coding RNA is filed under the name Streptomyces sp. RNAcentral's name for it is "ZTP sequence". It matches the Rfam family "ZMP/ZTP riboswitch aptamer (pfl RNA motif)". Rfam says of the family: Previously known as pfl RNA. ZMP is also known as AICAR. The record is from RNAcentral. RNAcentral also lists the same sequence under 1 other name. Lineage: Bacteria; Bacillati; Actinomycetota; Actinomycetes; Kitasatosporales; Streptomycetaceae.
GUGGCGGGCCGUGACUGGCGUGUCGAGAUGGGCGUAACCAUCGGGGAGCGGCCUCGUCGCAUCGACGUGUGCCGCGCGCCUGGGCUUCUUGG